Molecule: long non-coding RNA, 487 nt
Organism: Melanotaenia boesemani (Boeseman's rainbowfish)
Lineage: Eukaryota; Metazoa; Chordata; Actinopteri; Atheriniformes; Melanotaeniidae
Exons: 4
Source: RefSeq, a predicted model, not a curated record
GACAGGUCCCAGGUCCCCACAGCCUCAUCUGUCCAUCUGUGAUAAUAAUCAGUGCUGGUGUCCCAGCGAUCAUAUAACAUAGUACAGUGAGGAGGGUCAGGAGGGGGGCAGUAGGGAGCAUGGUGAUGGAUCCAGGGGGACCAUUGAGCAUACAGGGUGAGCAGUGACUGUGGUGAAGGUGUGAGGUCAUCCAAAAGAAGCCAGAAUAUACGUGCAUGUUCAGUUUGCAUGCUGGGUGGAGAAGCAGGAGGGGUGGAAAGAAGCCAUUGUCCAUGUGAGGCAGAAUGAAUGAGACCAGAGUUACAGUCCACUAUAUUUCCAUUAGGGAAUCUGACAGUCACUCCAUCUAGAGAACAAAGAAUUUCUGCCCUCAGCUUAGUGAGGAUGUCUCUGCCCAUCAGUGGAACAGGACAGUGUGGAGAGGAAACAUAGCGAUGUUCAAAAUGAUAUCCAGCUGCCUCGACAGAGAAAGGGGCAGUUGGUGGCA